AUUGAACGCUGGCGGCAUGCCUUACACAUGCAAGUCGAGCGGCAGCGCGGGGGCAACCCUGGCGGCGAGCGGCGAACGGGUGAGUAAUACAUCGGAACGUGUCCUGUCGUGGGGGAUAACCAGUCGAAAGACUGGCUAAUACCGCAUGAGAUCGAAAGAUGAAAGCGGGGGACCGCAAGGCCUCGCGCGAUUGGAGCGGCCGAUGUCGGAUUAGCUAGUUGGCGGGGUAAAAGCCCACCAAGGCGACGAUCCGUAGCUGGUUUGAGAGAACGACCAGCAAAACUGGGACUGGGACACGGCCCAGACUCCUACGGGAGGCAGCAGUGGGGAAUUUUGGACAAUGGGGGCAACCCUGAUCCAGCCAUGCCGCGUGUGUGAAGGAGGCCUUCGGGUUGUAAAGCACUUUCGGCCGGAACGAAAUCGCGCGGAUUAAUAACCCGCGUGGAUGACGGUACCGGAAGAAGAAGCACCGGCUAACUACGUGCCAGCCGCCGCCGUAA
Molecule: ribosomal RNA, 500 nt
Filed under: uncultured bacterium
Lineage: Bacteria
Description: partial 16S ribosomal RNA
Rfam family: Bacterial small subunit ribosomal RNA
Source: RNAcentral